Hippocampus zosterae (dwarf seahorse) is the source of this 679-nucleotide long non-coding RNA. RefSeq lists it as uncharacterized. The record is from RefSeq and is a predicted model, not a curated record. Lineage: Eukaryota; Metazoa; Chordata; Actinopteri; Syngnathiformes; Syngnathidae. The transcript is spliced from 3 exons.
UGAAUGGAUGCCAUGUUUUCUUUGGUUCCGCCAUUAGUAUGCCAACAUUAGCUUUGGUAAGCUAAUGGCGGACUCCGAUGGUUGUCGCUAGCCCGUCUUUAGUGUUUUACAUUGUUUGCUAGCAUUAAACACGGCGGCCUUUCCUAAGGCAAAGCUAUGUGUGUUCUACUUUUCGAGUGUGGAAUUCUUUGUUCUGUUUACUUUCAUCGUAAACAUCCAAGCAGCGCUUUUUCGUAAACUUUUCAUGGAUGACUUGUUUUCUUUGGUUCAGCAAUAUCUUUGAAUUGCGCAAACAAAUGAAAGAUUGCUUUGUUUUUGACAAGUCAUUCAGACCGCAACAACGGUCACGAGGGGAAGACUCCACCCGACCUAAAUCACGGUGAAAGCGAAGAGUCUACGCACUUCCUGCCUCACCCCCCCAAAAUGAGGUGAAAGUAUGCGAGCCUGAGGAGGAGGGGAGGCAGGAACGAGCAAUGCCAGAAACAAUAGACUCAUAAGGUGAUUAUUUUGAGCCCGAGCGGUGAUGAGACGACCUACGGAGGCUAUCGGGGACGGCGCUUCCUGGCACUGCAACGCCGUUUGAUGGCCGGAACACAUGACUCACUCUGUUGUUGUUCGAAAAGAUGGCCAGAGGAGAAAAGACCUCUCGGCUGCUCAGAUAUGCACAUCCAGGAUAGGG